AGCUUGUAGAGGUUUUAUUUCAAGUUUUUUUCUGCCCGGUGUCGUGUUUUCGUAAACGGCCGCGGUAUUUUGACCGUGCAAAGGUAGCAUAAUCAUUUGUCCUUUAAUUGGGGGCUGGGAUGAAAGGAAGGUCGAGGGUUUUACUGUCUCUUUAUUAUUUUUAUAAUUUGCUGUUUUUGUGAAGAAGCAAAAUUUCUUAAGGGGGACAAGAAGACCCUAUUAAGCUUUAUCUUUUUAAGCUUUUUGGAUAUAUUUAUAUUAAUAAGUUGAUUAGAAGAUUUGGUUGGGGCGACCAAAGAAGAUGUAAAUCUUCUUUGUUUUAAAAACUUUAGGUUUAAAAAAGAACCAGAAUUUCUGGUUGAAAGAAUUAGUUACUAUAGGGAUAACAGCGUAAUCUUUUCGUAGAGUUCUUAUUGAUGAAAAGGAUUGCGACCUCGAUGUUGACUUGUUUUAUCCUUUUUAGGUGUAGCCGCUGUAAGGGUUGGUCUGUUCACCAUUAAAAUAAC
Molecule: ribosomal RNA, 506 nt
Filed under: Riserius pugetensis
Lineage: Eukaryota; Metazoa; Nemertea; Pilidiophora; Heteronemertea; Riseriellidae
Description: partial 16S ribosomal RNA
Rfam family: Archaeal large subunit ribosomal RNA
Source: RNAcentral